CCCGAAUAAGAAGGUCCGGCUAACUUCGUGCCAGCAGCCGCGGUAAUACGAAGGGACCUAGCGUAGUUCGGAAUUACUGGGCUUAAAGAGUUCGUAGGUGGUUAAAAAAGUUGGUGGUGAAAUCCCAGAGCUUAACUCUGGAACUGCCAUCAAAACUUUUUAGCUAGAGUUUGAUAGAGGAAAGCAGAAUUUCUAGUGUAGAGGUGAAAUUCGUAGAUAUUAGAAAGAAUACCAAUUGCGAAGGCAGCUUUCUGGAUCAUUACUGACACUGAGGAACGAAAGCAUGGGUAGCGAAGAGGAUUAGAUACCCUCGUAGUCCAUGCCGUAAACGAUGUGUGUUAGACGUUGGAAAUUUAUUUUCAGUGUCGCAGCGAAAGCGAUAAACACACCGCCUGGGGAGUACGACCGCAAGGUUAAAACUCAAAUGAAUUGACGGGGACCCGCACAAGUAGUGGAGCAUGUGGUUUAAUUCGAAGAUACGCGCAGAACCUUACCAACACUUGACAUGUUCGUCGCGACCUUAAGAGAUUAAGGUUUUCGGUUCGGCCGGACGAAACACAGGUGCUGCAUGGCUGUCGUCAGCUCGUGUCGUGAGAUGUUGGGUUAAGUCCCGCAACGAGCGCAACCCUCACUUUUAGUUGCCAUCAUUUAGUUGGGCACUCUGAAAGAACUGCCAGUGAUAAGCUGGAGGAAGGUGGGGAUGACGUCAAGUCCUCAUGGCCCUUACGUGUUGGGCUACACACGUGCUACAAUGGCAUCUACAAUAGGAAGCAAGAUGGCGACAUUGAGCAAAUCCUAAAAAGAUGCCUCAGUUCGGAUUGCACUCUGCAACUCGAGUGCAUGAAGCUGGAAUUACUAGUAAUCGCGGAUCAGCGCGC
RNAcentral lists this ribosomal RNA (878 nucleotides) under marine metagenome. RNAcentral's name for it is "bacterial SSU rRNA". It matches the Rfam family "Bacterial small subunit ribosomal RNA", at positions 478 to 1357 of the family's 1533-position model. The record is from RNAcentral.